RNAcentral lists this ribosomal RNA (302 nucleotides) under uncultured bacterium. RNAcentral's name for it is "partial 16S ribosomal RNA". It matches the Rfam family "Bacterial small subunit ribosomal RNA", at positions 508 to 807 of the family's 1533-position model. The record is from RNAcentral.
GCAGUAGCCGCGGUAAUACGUAGGGGGCAAGCGUUAAUCGGAAUUACUGGGCGUAAAGCGCACGCAGGCGGUUUGUUAAGUCAGAUGUGAAAUCCCCGAGCUUAACUUGGGAACUGCAUUUGAAACUGGCAAGCUAGAGUCUUGUAGAGGGGGGUAGAAUUCCAGGUGUAGCGGUGAAAUGCGUAGAGAUCUGGAGGAAUACCGGUGGCGAAGGCGGCCCCCUGGACAAAGACUGACGCUCAGGUGCGAAAGCGUGGGGAGCAAACAGGAUUAGAUACCCCUGUAGUCCCUGUCUCUUAUAC